This is a long non-coding RNA of Gopherus evgoodei (Goodes thornscrub tortoise), 3736 nucleotides long. RefSeq lists it as uncharacterized. The record is from RefSeq and is a predicted model, not a curated record. Lineage: Eukaryota; Metazoa; Chordata; Testudines; Testudinidae. The transcript is spliced from 6 exons.
UCAGUAUUAAAAAUAAUACACGCUGGAACCAACAGGAGCAGCAGCAGCAGGAGGAGGAGGAGAGGAGAAUGGCGCAGCGGUGAAGCCCUGAUUAUGCAUAGAGAGACGUCUGGAGCAGCCUCCUCUAACCUGUUCUCUUCUCCGUGCAGCGCUGCAGGCCGGCCGUCCUCAGCCACAGAACCGGAGCAGCAGAAACCUCUUCUCACUGCCUAACAGAUAUUUGUCAUUCGGGGUUUUUGGUUGUUGUUGUUUUUUGGGGGAGUGCGGGGGUGCGGGUUGGUUUGUUUCUGUUCCUUUAAUUACAAUCUUCAAUAACAGGGACGAUCGCUCCGGGAAUCUACAGUCUCUUCUUCAAGCAGCAGGAUUUGCAUAUUUUUAAUGCCCUAAUUUCCUUGAUGUAUGUAAAUGCAGCCGGACGUACAGUAAGACUCAAGCUGACGUCAAUGGACGUGACCUCGCUGUUAAACCUUGAACGUGAAGCUGGGAUGGGGAAAACAGACGAGAGAGAGAGGGGGAGAUGCAGCUUUGCAGCUCGAAAACGGCAAAAGCGGCAGAGAGGAUAUAUUACAGCGGCAGCGGAGGCGGGAGCCAGCCAGCAGCCGCAACAGCAUCUUGAGCUGCAGAAGCCGUGAAAAGGCAGCUGGACACGUGUGAAGAGCCUUCCUCAGCUGCAUUGCUCGUCUCCAUCCCCGUUUGCAACCCACCCAAACUGAUCAGCGCUUCUACCCUGUAAAAUAAACGUUAGAACUAUUCCCUCCCUCCCUCCCCAAACAACAGCAAAACAAAGCAAACAAACGCAACGUGCUGUAAAUUAUCCCACCAACAAAAAUGGGACCUAGUUGCUGCUGCUUUCCAGAAGAUAAUAAGCGGGAAUAUACAAAGUCGACUUUCGCUAACCCCGCCCCCCCCCAAAACAGCAAAUAUUAAAAGAUAGACGUGAGUUCAAUGGGUGCAGGUAAAUCGUCAGCGUAAGUGUUCAAUGUGCUUCCUGUGGUACCUGGUUACUGAUACAGUGUUCUGUACAGUGGCUGUAAGGGAACUGCUGCUGACAAUGUCGGUUUGAAAAGAAGAGACAGAAACAGAAGAAUCGCCAGGCUCGUAGCGAUUCACUCGCAUGCCUUGUAAACCUAAUUGCUAUACCCAGGGGUGGCACUGAUCUGCGAGUAAAUCUUGGUCAUAAGCACUUCUCUGGGUUUUCCAUUCAUAUCUCCUUUUUGAAAGGAGAGACUGAAUCUAAGGAUACCCUGGAUUCUGAACGUCUGAAGGUGCCUUAUUAACUAAAACGGAGACAGAAGACAGCAGAUGUGAGAGGGGCUUUCCGAAGCUGCGCUUCCUCUUCUCUCUGACUUCAUCUUUUAUUGCUCCUCUCUCUAUAUACAUAGGCCUGAAGAACCGUUAUGGGCAGGGGGAUUUCUCGAGAUUAGACUUCAGAAUUAUUGGCAGUCAAGUUUUAGAAAAUCAUGGACAUGUUUCCUUAAUAUCUAACUUUUCCUUUUCUCGUGCCAGUGGUAUGUUUCAUGGCAUUUCUGUAGAUUUUGACACGAUCAGCCUUAUAGUAAACCAGAUGAAAUAUGUAAACUGCAAGCUAGCGACUUCUCUCUCUCUCUCUCACACACACACACACCUCUUUGUCUUCUCUCAUAGUUUAUGGUGGAAAGCAGCACCUACGAUCCCCAUGGUAUGGCUGUGCGUGUGAUUGUGGCAGUGCGAUUGAAGUGACGGCCACUGAGAAGGACACGAGUGACCGUCUGUCCUUUGGCUACAGUUGGCGGGAAAUCUGGGGGCAGAGUGCUCGGUGCUCUCAGUCUGCGUCUAUCUUUGCCGCUUCCUUCUCAUCUCCCUGCAGCCACAUUUCCAUACGGGAUACUCAUCUGUGGGUUUUUUUUCUCGUUACUUUGCCCCUCCCCCGCCCGCCUCCCCUCGUCACAAAUACCCAGCCGUGCACACAGACACACACUUCACCCACACACUUCUUGACACCCACACAUUCAAUAAAGCGAUUCACCACCAUAGAGAAAACACGCGUAUCCAUGCACAGAUACAUUCUACAAACACACCCACCCAAAGACAUAUUUACACACACACUCUUCCCCAUCAACACACAGCCUUGCAUACAGACAUUCCUACGAACACACACCCUAUACAAAGGUUCUAACAGCCUUCCUUCACAAACACACCUUUUAAACACACACACACGUUCUCAUUCUCGCAAACGCCCAUGCUUCUACACGGUGAGUCCUCACAGUCUCACUAGUACAUGCCCAUAUCUGUACACACACAAUAAUACCAGACCUUCUUACUUUCUAUGCUCUCCACAGGCUCAACCCCCCCCAACUUUUUAACCCCCCCCCCUUCUAGCUCUCUCUUUGCAAUGGCUCCCACUAAGCUCCAUAAAUCCCUCCUAAAAUCCAUUUACUAAAACUGUCGAUGCUGUCCCCCUUGUUUUGAGUCCAGAGCACUGAGAAACAAAACCAGCCCUCCUUCCAGAAAUCAAUGCGCUGACGAGAGGUCCCUCUACAAGUUUGCAAGUGAAAGAGGUUUUGGUUUCAUUUUGUUUUGACUUGGAGAAAAGUCCCACAUAAUGGCAAUGCCUCCCGAAACAAGACGCAGAAGAAACUGUUCCUCAAAAGUUAACUGGAUGAAAACGCUCUAGAAAACGCAACUUCUUGGGACAAUUUUUGUAAGUUUCCAAAGAAAUGAGUGCUUCCCUCCUACUAUAGGACAAUGUAGCCAUUGCUCUUCUUUAGACUAGACAUUUCUAAUUUGUUCCGUCUGUCAGAAGGGACUAUGAGAGGGUUUGGUGCAAAUUCAUUAUCUCUGGCAACGCAUAACGUAUAGUAGGAACUGAAAAAGACCAUGGCAAUGGAUGAACAAUAGGGCUUCAGUUCAUCAGCAACAAAAGCUUUGGGGAAAUUGGUUGAAUUUCAGAGCACGUCCUCCUCAGCAGAGAGGGCUGGACUAGACCUUGGCCAAACCCCCCCAAAAACUUGCAAAGCCUCACGUACAACACUUCACUUUCUACUCUGGGGCUUAGGAAGCAAUAUGGAAGAAAAAAACUUUUUUUUUUCUAUUUCUUCCGUUUUUCUGGAUAGAAGCUCUUUUUACUUAUUUAUCAACGAACCAUGAAAGAAUUAUACCAUGGAACUAAGCUGCAGUUUCAAAUAAAGGUGAUGAUCUGCAUUUCUGGAGACGUGAAGGAACCCGCUGUCCAUGUUUUAAGGGGGGCUUGACCGUGGAAUCUUUGUUUGCAGCCGGAGAUUCAGCCCUUACAUCUAGAUCGGGGGGUCACAUGUUUCUUAUAAGAAAAAAAAAUUCAGAAGAAGGAUCACAAGGGAUGGCGAUCAUCAAGAAAUGAGUAGAAGAUGGCUUGUGACUAAUGUUGUAGAGAAGAAUGACUGAAAUGACUGUUUGGAAUUAUUCUGGAAUUAGGCUAGAAUGAAGUCUCCUCUGCCAAUCUAAGGGCCUCUUUCCACAAACACACGUGAGAGAAACUUUAUUUAUAUGAAUAGUUCACUUGAGAUCAACUGGGACUAGUCACGAAAAAUGAAGUUUAGAACUGAUUCUUGACACAUGAUGCACAUUUGUCAGGAGGUCACGGUGAAUCAGAAUAAACAACUUCAAGAAAAUGCCAAAUUCAAGAAAAUAAAAGUAGCUUAAUAUGAUUUAAUACCAUUAAAGUGGUUAAGACGAAGUUUCUUAAACUCUUUUAUGGAGGCUGGUUAACAAUGACAUAGAU